Molecule: RNA transcript, 3071 nt
Organism: Piliocolobus tephrosceles (Ugandan red Colobus)
Lineage: Eukaryota; Metazoa; Chordata; Mammalia; Primates; Cercopithecidae
Gene: TMC6
Gene name: transmembrane channel like 6
Exons: 21
Source: RefSeq, a predicted model, not a curated record
GCCGGGUCACGUGAUAACCAAGGCCCGCCCCCCCACCCCCCGACGUGGGCCGGGAGGUGCGGCUAUCCCCAGGCCCCGCCAGAGCUGCGACUGGCCCAGUCGCCCCCUGGGGGCCCUUUGCCACUCCCUCGGGAAGGAGAGCCCAGCCGAGCCCUUAGUUCCCGGCGGCCCUUGCGGGGCACAGGUGAGCCCUGGCUGCGCGCAGCCCCUCCUCCCCGGCGUCUCCCAGAUGGGCAGCAGGAGGCUCCGGAGGUGGCACCCAGGUUCUGAGCUGCCCUAGGUCUGCAGACUAGUGGGCUUCGGCCAGAGACAUGGCCCAGCCGCUGGCCUUCGUCCUCGAUGUCCCUGAGACCCCGGGGGACCAGGGCAGCCAGGAUCCCAGCCCCUACGAUGAAAGCGAAGUACACGAUUCCUUCCACCAGCUCAUCCAAGAACAGAGCCAGUGGGUGGCCCAGGAGGGGCUGGAGCUGCAGCAGAGAGAGCAGGAGGCCCCAGGGAGUGGCCAGCAGACGCUCCCGCGGCCCGAGGGCACCCAGAGCACGGCCACACUCCGCAUCCUGGCCAGCAUGCCCAGCCGCACCAUUGGCCGCAGCCGAGGCGCCAUAAUCUCCCAGUACUACAGCCGCACAGUGCAGCUUCGGCGCAGGAGCAGCCGGCCCCUGCUCGGGAACUUUGUCCUCUCCGCCCGGCCCAGCCUCCGCCUGUACGACUUGGAGCUGGACCCCACAGCCCGGGAGGAGGAGGAGAAGCAGAGCCUCCUGGUGAAGGAGCUCCAGAGCCUGGCGGUGGCACAGCGGGACCACAUGCUUCGAGGGAUGCCCUUAAGCCUGGCUGAGAAACGCAGCCUGCGAGAGAAGAGCAGGACCCCGACGGGGAGGUGGAGAGGCCAGCGGGGCAGUGGCGGGGUCUGCUCCUGCUGUGGCCGGCUCAGAUAUGCCUGCGUGCUGGCCUUGCACAGCCUGGGGCUGGUGCUGCUCUCCGGCCUGCAGGCCCUGACGCCAUGGCGCUAUGCCCUGAAGCGCAUCGGGGGCCAGUUCGGCUCCAGCGUGCUCUCCUACUUCCUCUUCCUCAAAACCCUGCUGGCUUUCAACGCUGUCCUGCUGCUGCUGCUGGUGGCCUUCAUCAUGGGCCCGCAGGUCGCCUUCCCGCCCACCCUGCCGGGCCCUGCCCCCGUCUGCACAGGCCUGGAGCUCCUCACAGGCGCGGGCUGCUUCACCCACACUGUCAUGUUCUACGGCCACUACAGUAACGCCACGCUGAACCAGCCGUGUGGCAGCCCCCUGGACGGCAGCCAGUGCACACCCAGGGCGGGCGGCCUGCCCUACAACAUGCCCCUGGCCUACCUCUACACUGUGGGUGCAGGCUUCUUUAUCACCUGCAUCACCCUGGUGUACAGCAUGGCUCACUCUUUCGGGGAGAGCUACCGGGUGGGCAGCACCUCUGGCAUCCACGCUAUCACCGUCUUCUGCUCCUGGGACUACAAGGUGACGCAGAAGCGGGCCUCCCGCCUCCAGCAGGACAACAUUCGCACCCGGCUGAAGGAGCUGCUGGCUGAGUGGCAGCUGCGGCAGAGCCCCAGGAGCGUGUGCGGGAGGCUGCGGCAGGCGGCUGCGCUGGGGCUUGCAUGGCUGCUGUGUCUGGGGACUGCACUGGGCUGCGCUGUGGCCGUCCACGUCUUCUCAGAGUUCUUGAUCCAGAGUCCGGAGGCUGCUGGCCAGGAGGCUGCGCUGCUGGUCCUGCCCCUGGUGGUUGGCCUUCUCAACCUGGGGGCCCCCUACCUGUGCCGUGUUCUGGCCGCCCUGGAGCCGCAUGACUCCCCGGUGCUGGAGGUGUACGUGGCCAUCUGCAGGAACCUCAUCCUCAAGCUGGCCAUCCUGGGGACAUUGUGCUACCACUGGCUGGGCCGCAGGGUGGCUGUCCUGCAGGGCCAGUGCUGGGAGGACUUUGUGGGCCAGGAGCUGUACCGGUUCCUGGUGAUGGACUUCGUCCUCAUGCUUCUGGACACGCUUUUUGGGGAGCUGGUGUGGAGCAGGAUUAUCUCCGAGAAGAAGCUGAAGAGGCGGCGGAAGCCGGAGUUUGACAUCGCCCGGAAUGUCCUGGAGCUGAUUUACGGGCAGACUCUGACCUGGCUGGGGGUGCUCUUCUCACCCCUCCUCCCCGCCGUGCAGAUCAUCAAGCUGCUGCUCGUCUUCUACGUCAAGAAGACCAGCCUUCUGGCCAACUGCCAGGCGCCGCGCCGGCCCUGGCUGGCCUCACACAUGAGCACGGUCUUCCUCACGCUGCUCUGCUUCCCCGCCUUCCUGGGCGCUGCCGUCUUCCUCUGCUACGCAGUCUGGCAGGUGAAGCCCUCGAGCACCUGUGGCCCCUUCCGGACCCUGGACAGCAUGUACGAGGCUGGCAGGGUGUGGGUGCGCUACCUGGAGGCGGCGGGCCCCAGGGUCUCCUGGCUGCCCUGGGUGCACCGGUACCUGGUGGAAAACACAUUCUUCGUCUUCCUGGUGUCAGCCCUGCUGCUGGCCGUGAUCUACCUCAACAUCCAGGUGGUGCGGGGCCAGCGGAGGGUCAUCUGCCUGCUCAAGGAGCAGAUCAGCAACGCUUGCAUCCUGCUGCUGGGCUCUGCCCUCCCCCCAGGGUUCCCCGUCCACUCCCGUUGCCAUUUGUCCUCCUGCAGGUUUUUACUCUGGGGCUGGAGGGGGAAGACAAAAUCUUCUUAAUCAACAAGCUUCACUCCAUCUACGAGAGGAAGGAGAGGGAGGAGAGGAGCAGGGUUGGGACAACCGAGGAGACUGCAGCACCCCCUGCGCUGCUCACAGAGGAACGGGAUGACUAGGGGGAUGGUGAUGGGCCUCACGGGCCCGCCCAGCACCCCCCAGCACCCUGAGACCACACUGGUGCCUCCCAGUGACCCUGCUGGGACAUAAGGACAAGGAAGACACUGUCUCGCCUCUCGAAAGCCGCAGCUGCGCCUGGGCUGGAGCCAGAAGGGUGGGUGAAUCCGGCUUGGGCAUCCACAGUGAACUCUGCCCUGCCUGGGACUCUACUUAUUCUGAUUAAAGGGGUUUUGCAGAUGG